GAGACUCUGUGCGCGUGCAUAUCAAUAAGCGGAGGAAAAGAAACUAACAAGGAUUCCCUUAGUAACGGCGAGUGAAGCGGGAAGAGCUCAAAUUUGAAAUCUUAAAGGUUUUCCCUUGACGAAUUGUAGUUUAAAGAAGUGUUUUCUGUUGAAGUUUCGGUAAAAGUUCUUUGGAAUAGGACAUCAUAGAGGGUGAGAAUCCCGUAUUUGAUCAUUACUUUUCCAGCUGUGUGAUACACUUUCAAAGAGUCGGAUUGUUUGGGAAUGCAGUCCAAAAUGGGUGGUAAAUUUCAUCUAAAGCUAAAUAUUGGCGAGAGACCGAUAGCGAACAAGUACCGUGAGGGAAAGAUGAAAAGAACUUUGAAAAGAGAGUUAAACAGUACGUGAAAUUGUCAAAAGGGAAGCGUUUGACACCAGUGUUGUUUUCUCGAAAAUCAAUUAAAAAAGGCCCGGAUUUUGUGUUGUAUUGACCUUAAAAGCUUUCUUCACUCUUUUCUUGUCUUUUUUAAUGCACUUUUCGUUUAACAAGUCAACAUCAGUUUCUUUUGUUGUAAAAGGGUCAUUGGAAGGUGGCUUUCUUUUCGGAGAAAGUGUUUAUAGCCUUUGAUCUCUGCAACCGGAGAGACUGAGGUCUGCAGCGUAGACUCUUCGGGGUUAGAUACAUUUGUGCUAAGUUAUAGUUUUUCAUAGACAACAUGUUGACUAUGAUUAAUCAUGUAGCUUACUCGCUUAUGCUAUUUUACCUACGCUUAGGAUGUUGACAGCAGUAUAGACUGU
Molecule: ribosomal RNA, 777 nt
Filed under: uncultured Neocallimastigales
Lineage: Eukaryota; Fungi; Neocallimastigomycota; Neocallimastigomycetes; Neocallimastigales
Description: partial large subunit ribosomal RNA
Rfam family: Eukaryotic large subunit ribosomal RNA
Source: RNAcentral